GACGAACGCUGGCGGCGUGCUUAACACAUGCAAGUCGAACGGAAAGGCCCUGCUUUUGUGGGGUGCUCGAGUGGCGAACGGGUGAGUAACACGUGAGUAACCUGCCCUUGACUUUGGGAUAACUUCAGGAAACUGGGGCUAAUACCGGAUAGGAGCUCCUGCUGCAUGGUGGGGGUUGGAAAGUUUCGGCGGUUGGGGAUGGACUCGCGGCUUAUCAGCUUGUUGGCGGGGUAGUGGCUUACCAAGGCUUUGACGGGUAGCCGGCCUGAGAGGGUGACCGGCCACAUUGGGACUGAGAUACGGCCCAGACUCCUACGGGAGGCAGCAGUGGGGAAUAUUGCACAAUGGGCGGAAGCCUGAUGCGGCAACGCCGCGUGCGGGAUGACGGCCUUCGGGUUGUAAACCGCUUUCGCCUGUGACGAAGCGUGAGUGACGGUAAUGGGUAAAGAAGCACCGGCUAACUACGUG
This 468-nucleotide ribosomal RNA is filed under the name uncultured bacterium. Its description in RNAcentral is "partial 16S ribosomal RNA". It matches the Rfam family "Bacterial small subunit ribosomal RNA", at positions 28 to 507 of the family's 1533-position model. The record is from RNAcentral.